UUUCCGUUUUACUUGUACUCCACUACAUUUAUCUGACAGCUUUAGUAACGUCUCAGGUCGACAUUUAACAAUUUACAAUAAAAAAAACCCCUGUUAAUUUAAAGUGAUUAUGCAUGUUUAUCAAUUAAACCUUAAACAGUAUAUUAAGCAGUUAAAAUGAGCCCAACAGUAAAACUCUGCUUUCAUGAAUGCAUCAAUAAUAUUAAUGCAACAAUAAAUGUUAACUAUAUAUAAAACAGUCUAUUUAGAAAUAAGCAUGUUGAACACUUAAAAUAAUAAAUGAACUCUUAAACCAGAUACAGUAAAGCUGCCAGCAGUGAUGAACUGGCCGAGCAGAGUGACCUGAUGAUUAUUUGGUUCUUACCAAGAUAAAAAAAAAACUUUAGAUUUAGAAGUGUUAGAUCAUUUAUCUGGUUUUAAGAGCUAAUUUCUUAUUUUAAGUGUUCAACAUGUUUAUUUCUAGAUUUAAUAAUCUUAAUUUAAGAAAUCUUAAAUUAUCUGUCCAUGCAGCAAGAUCAUUUCCCUCAGAUUUACUGUUUGAUCUGGUUUUAGAUAUUUUUAUCAGUGCUGAUAAGGAGUCUAUUAAAAAUGUUUAUUUAACCCCUUAAAGCCUCCUACAGACCAGAGGGUCUGAGAUCUUUCUAAUAAGACCUCUAAAAUGUAUUUUGGCCUUAAAGUUCUUCUCUUAUAAGCUUUUCAUCAUAGUUUUAGAUUUUUCAUUAGUUUUAGUUUAAUUUUGUUGUGAUUUUUUGUUUUCAAAUCCAGUUCGUUUUAAUGAGUUUUGAGAGUGAGUUUGCUAGUUUUAAUUAGUUUUUAUUUUUUUGAAAAUGCUUAGUUUUAGUUUAGUUUUUAUUAGUUUUAGUUUAGUUUUUAUUAGUUUUAGUUUAGUUUUUAUUAGUUGUAGUUUAUUUUUAUUAGUUGUAGUUGUUUUGUAAUGGGGUAUUUGUUGGGUCCAGAUUCAAUAAGGUCACAAUAAAUGUUUCCUUUAUUUCCUUUGUCUGAUCCAUCUCAGCCCCAAUAAGUUUAUUAA
Molecule: long non-coding RNA, 1030 nt
Organism: Centropristis striata (black sea bass)
Lineage: Eukaryota; Metazoa; Chordata; Actinopteri; Perciformes; Serranidae
Exons: 2
Source: RefSeq, a predicted model, not a curated record